RNAcentral lists this ribosomal RNA (253 nucleotides) under uncultured bacterium. RNAcentral's name for it is "partial 16S ribosomal RNA". It matches the Rfam family "Bacterial small subunit ribosomal RNA", at positions 524 to 776 of the family's 1533-position model. The record is from RNAcentral.
UACGGAGGGUGCAAGCGUUGUCCGGAAUCACUGGGCGUAAAGGGCGCGUAGGCGGCUCAUGAAGGCUGUGGUGAAAGUCCGGGGCUCAACCUCGGAUCGGCCGUGGCGACUCGUGGGCUGGAGCACUGUAGAGGCGGGUGGAAUUCCGGGUGUAGCGGUGGAAUGCGUAGAGAUCCGCAGGAACACCCAGGGGGAAACCAGCCGCCUGGGCAUGCGCUGACGCUGAGGUGCGAGAGCGUGGGGAGCGAACCGG